CCUACGGGUGGCAGCAGUGGGGAAUAUUGCACAAUGGGCGAAACCCUGAUGCAGCGACGCCGCGUGAGUGAAGAAGUAAUUCGUUAUGUAAAGCUCUAUCAGCAGGGACGAAAAUGACGGUACCUGAGGAAGAAUCCGCGGCUAACUACGUGCCAGCAGCCGCGGUAAUACGUAGGGGGCAAGCGUUAUCCGGAGUUACUGGGUGUAAAGGGAGCGUAGACGGCAGGGCAAGUCUGGAGUGAAAGGCGAGGGCUCAACCCCCGGACUGCUCUGGAAACUGUACGGCUGGAGUGCUGGAGAGGUAAGUGGAAUUCCUAGUGUAGCGGUGAAAUGCGUAGAUAUUAGGAGGAACACCAGUGGCGAAGGCGGAUUGCUGGACUGUAACUGACGUUGAGGCUCGAAAGCGUGGGGAGCAAACAGGAUUAGAUACCCCAGUAGUC
RNAcentral lists this ribosomal RNA (440 nucleotides) under uncultured bacterium. RNAcentral's name for it is "partial 16S ribosomal RNA". It matches the Rfam family "Bacterial small subunit ribosomal RNA", at positions 338 to 795 of the family's 1533-position model. The record is from RNAcentral.